AAAUGCGUUUACGGGAUGUGUUAGAUCUCGAUUACCUUUCCCAAGUCAUUACCUUCUUUUCCGGACUCUACGAACAACAGUACUCUGCCCUCUACGAACAACGGUACUCUGGACUCUACAAACAACAGUUCUCUGGCCUCUACGAACAACAGUACUCUGGCCUCUACGAACAACAGUACUCUGGACUCUACAAACAACAGUUCUCUGGCCUCUACGAACAACAGUAAUCAGGCCUCUACGAACAACAGUUCUCUGGCCUCUACGAAGAACAGUAAUCAGGCCUCUACGAACAACAGUACUCUGGACUCUACAAACAACAGUUCUCUGGCCUCUACGAACAACAGUACUCUGGACUCUACAAACAACAGUUCUCUGGACCCUACUCCGAAGACCUCAUAUAAACAACGUAGGAACACCAAUAAACACACCUCUAUUGAGGAACAAAAAAUUAAAAGACUAAACAUACUAUAAACAUAUUGAGGAACAACACUAUUCAAAAGCUUAAAAGACUAAACAUACUAGUAAACUUAUUGAGGAACAAAACAUUUCGGAGACAUAUUGAAGAAUACUCCUCUCCUCAUCCUCCCCUCUCCGAGGUCAAUUAAAUUUAGAUUCUUUAACCAUGACCUUUAGUCGAACGAACAAUGAGGAUUAAUUGACUUUUUCAAAGUCAAGUCAUAGAGAUUUUGUUUCAUGUGGAAGACGUCACGAUAUCAUGACGACAGGAGGGAUUAAACUUGUUCAUGUCAUACUUUAUGAGAAUAGAUGAGGAUCGUAAAGGAUCGUUCUUUAAAGUCGUUCGUUAGGUUCGUUCUUUAAAGUCGUUCAUGUUAAAGUCUGACGGCUUACCUGGCGGCCGAUACCCUGUAAUGAUACCCUAUGAAUACCGUUUUUAGAGAGACUGGUAGAUCGAAUCAACGAGAUUGUGUACAAUUUAAGUCAAUUUAUGACCGUCGUUCGUGAUGAGGUACAUUUCGUGGUUGUUUAAACCCCACGUGUUUUAAAUGACUUGCCCGAUAUCAAAAGCUUAGUCUUUGCGAUCGUAAAGGACAUCAAGACGUAUGGUUUAACUAUCAAAAGCUUAGGUACAACAACAUGUCUAUCCUUGAUGAGGAUCGUAAAGGACAUCAUCAGCCAAUGAGGUUUAUUUAAACUAUACACUUGUUUGUCCACGGAGAAGUUUAUUUACCUUCGUGUUUAUAUCAUUCACAGGACACAAGAAGAAAUAUGAGGUUCAGAGGUCCAUAUCGACACGUUCUACUUUAGGAUAGUAACCAACAAUGAGACAACUGACUUUCUUUUACCGUUCGAUGAUGACAUGACAUCUCCUCCGGGAAUUUAGAGAUUGAGUAAAAAAAUGUUAAGUCAAUCAGUAGGACACAGACUUUGAGACACAACUGACUUUCUUUACCGUUCGAUGAUGACAUGAAAUGUCCUCCAAAGAGAGAGAGGAUCCUAUAGUUUAAAUGUGUCAAUUGUAUAGUCGUUCCAAUUGAUGAGCUGUCGGUUAAACUAGAGCUGCCGGUGUUGAGUCUCGUCGUUCGUUCGUGCUCUUAACUCAUCGUGGCGUAGUCCCCUUGCUUUAGCUUUAACUUUGCUCUCUCA
RNAcentral lists this ribosomal RNA (1605 nucleotides) under Triticum aestivum (bread wheat). Its description in RNAcentral is "partial small subunit ribosomal RNA". The record is from RNAcentral. Lineage: Eukaryota; Viridiplantae; Streptophyta; Magnoliopsida; Poales; Poaceae.